AUGAACUCCGAGAUUAUCGAUCGAAUUAGGAAGAGGAGAAGCGAGGAUGAUGAAGAUAUGAUGUCCUUUAUUCUGCCCGUAUUGCAUCGAAUGCGUAGUAGAGGGCCAAUCGAGAGAACUCAGUGACAUAGCUCCAUCUUAUAUGGCAAGAAGCGGGUUGAUGAUAUCCUUAGAGGCCAUGUGAAGAAUUGCCUAGUAGCUUAUAGGAUGGAGCCACGUAUCUUCCGGCUUUGGCAUCUUACCUUAGAAGAGAAAAUCUGA
This 261-nucleotide ribosomal RNA is filed under the name Triticum aestivum (bread wheat). RNAcentral's name for it is "partial small subunit ribosomal RNA". The record is from RNAcentral. Lineage: Eukaryota; Viridiplantae; Streptophyta; Magnoliopsida; Poales; Poaceae.